AUUCACAAGUCUCUUUUUGAACAAUACUUUUUCUUCAAACUUGAAUUAGGAGAUAUCAUAAUGCCUGGCUUCAUUUUCAGGGACUUCAUGAAGUCCAGAUCUGUGAAAGAGCAAAAAUAAAACCGAGAAAAAUUUUACACAAGAGCAAACUGUGAGACAGGGAUCAAUCAAAGUGAGAUUCCACUCUUUAUGGCAAAGAUGAUUCUAAGGAAUUAAGGAAGAUUCUUCUGAUGAAGCCAGCCUGUUUAGGCUUGUCCAGCCACAUGAUUGAAAAAACUGACUGAUCUCAAGUGUGUCCUCGGAAUGGCUGACUAUUAUAC
Long non-coding RNA from Ornithorhynchus anatinus (platypus), 320 nucleotides. RefSeq lists it as uncharacterized. The record is from RefSeq and is a predicted model, not a curated record. The transcript has 3 exons. Lineage: Eukaryota; Metazoa; Chordata; Mammalia; Monotremata; Ornithorhynchidae.